GUCGUAAGAAUGUUUGGUUUAAGUCCCCGCAACGAGGCGCAACCUUUUUUUUCGGUGCCCAGCAUUUGUUGGGGCAUUCGGGCGAGACUGCCGGUGACAAACCGGAGAAAGGUGGGGAUGACGUCAAAUCAUCAUGCCCCUUAUGCCUGGGGCGACACACGUGCUACAAUGGGCGGGACAAAGGGUCGCGAUCUCGCGAGGGUGAGCUAACUCCAAAAACCCGUCCUCAGUUCGGAUUGCAGGCUGCAACUCGCCUACUACAAACCGCUGCGAACCCGCGAGGGGGAGCCAAUCGGAAAAAGCCGGCCUCAGUUCGGAUUGGAGUCUGCAACUCGACUCCAUGAAGCUGGAAUCGCUAGUAAUCGCAGAUCAGAAUGCUGCGGUGAAUACGUUCCCGGGUCUUG
RNAcentral lists this ribosomal RNA (404 nucleotides) under uncultured bacterium. Its description in RNAcentral is "bacterial SSU rRNA". It matches the Rfam family "Bacterial small subunit ribosomal RNA", at positions 1062 to 1383 of the family's 1533-position model. The record is from RNAcentral.